AACGAACGCUGGCGGCAUGCCUAACACAUGCAAGUCGAACGAGACCUUCGGGUUUAGUGGCGCACGGGUGCGUAACGCGUGGGAACCUGCCCUUAGGUUCGGAAUAACUCCCCGAAAGGGGUGCUGAUACCGGAUAAUGUCUUCGGACCAAAGAUUUAUCGCCUUUGGAUGGGCCCGCGUUGGAUUAGCUAGUUGGUAGGGUAAAAGCCUACCAAGGCGACGAUCCAUAGCUGGUCUGAGAGGAUGAUCAGCCACACUGGGACUGAGACACGGCCCAGACUCCUACGGGAGGCAGCAGUGGGGAAUAUUGGACAAUGGGCGAAAGCCUGAUCCAGCAAUGCCGCGUGAGUGAUGAAGGCCUUAGGGUUGUAAAGCUCUUUUACCCGGGAUGAUAAUGACAGUACCGGGAGAAUAAGCUCCGGCUAACUCCGUG
Molecule: ribosomal RNA, 433 nt
Filed under: uncultured bacterium
Lineage: Bacteria
Description: partial 16S ribosomal RNA
Rfam family: Bacterial small subunit ribosomal RNA
Source: RNAcentral